This is a long non-coding RNA of Pomacea canaliculata, 900 nucleotides long. RefSeq lists it as uncharacterized. The transcript is spliced from 2 exons. The record is from RefSeq and is a predicted model, not a curated record. NCBI's taxonomy places the organism in Eukaryota, Metazoa, Mollusca, Gastropoda, Architaenioglossa, Ampullariidae.
GAACAAGAGAGCGCAUAGGAAGCUUUCAGCAGUGGUGCGACUGGUCAGACAGCUGCUUAUACUAACGUUGAAGGGAGUGUAUUGUCAAGAAAAACUUCAAACACGCCAGAUAAUGAACAUCUUUAAUGAGACGUAUACGAUGGCCUACGUCUUCACGAUGUAGGAGUCAGCUCCCCUUAUGCCAGCCUGUCAUAGCCAAAAUUCACAAAUUAAUUAUAGCCGAUGUAAUACUGACUCCACUACUGGAAACUUAAAAAUAAACAGAACAAUCAUUUUUGAAAACUGCAAUAUACUUUUUUCCAAAGGUCAGUCUUGCUAAUGAUCAGUCUUUCACACCUCAUCAAACCUGCACGUUGUCAUAGUUUUUAAAACAAAUAAUUAGGUUUCCAAUUGAAUAGUUUUAUAUAAUUAACAGCUCUCUGGAAAUCUGUCUUUAUUUAAAAGUUGAAAUGGUCUUCUCCAGAAGUCAUCCUCAUCUUCCCACUGACAUAAAAUGUUUGCAAAGGCAAAUAUACACGUUGAGUUGCUACAGAAAGAUUGUUCAUAUCUCGUACAAUUACCACAUUCACAAUAAGAUAGUUUAUGAUUAACUUAGGCUCAGCCUUCUCCUUAAGACAUUACAAGCUUCAAGCAUGAAUUGAAGAUGAACAAUCACUGCGCUGCACAAACAAAAAUAAGGGAUCAAAUCAAUGGAAGAACUUACAGUGUCGCAUUGCGCUUCAAAUAGAUUGUGUGAUAAUUUACUUCCAUAAUGCAAAAGGAGUGUUUUAGUUUUUUUAUACGAUUUCCUGUACAUUGUAAAAUUCAUUCUAAAGUGUCUGUGUUAAUGUAUGUAAAGAAUUUUAAAAAAUGUCUUAACAGGUGGAGUGAAUGAUCAAAAUUAAAAUGUUUACCAUUUAA